CUAAGAAUAUUCCGCAAUGGGAGAAAUCCUGACGGAGCGACGCCGCGUGAACGAAGAAGGCAGAAAUGUUGUAAAGUUCUUUUAUAUGGGAAGAAUAGGGUUAGGGGUAGAAUACCUAAUUGAUGACGGUACCAUAUGAAUAAGCCACGGCUAACUACGUGCCAGCAGCCGCGGUAAUACGUAGGUGGCAAGCGUUGUUCGGAUUCAUUGGGCGUAAAGGGCAUGUAGGCGGUUAUGUAAGUGUGAAUUUAAAGACCGAAGCUUAACUUCGAGUUUGGUUUGCAAACUGUAUAACUAGAGUGCAGAAGGGGAGACUGGAAUUCCGCGUGUAGGGGUGAAAUCUGUAGAUAUGCGGAAGAAUACUUGUGGCGAAGGCGAGUCUCUGGUCUGUAACUGACGCUGAAAUGCGAAAGUGUGGGUAGCAAACAGG
This 430-nucleotide ribosomal RNA is filed under the name uncultured bacterium. Its description in RNAcentral is "bacterial SSU rRNA". It matches the Rfam family "Bacterial small subunit ribosomal RNA", at positions 355 to 776 of the family's 1533-position model. The record is from RNAcentral.